UACGAAGGGGGCUAGCGUUGCUCGGAAUCACUGGGCGUAAAGCGCACGUAGGCGGAUCUUUAAGUCAGGGGUGAAAUCCCAAGGCUCAACCUUGGAACUGCCUUUGAUACUGGGGAUCUCGAGUCCGGAAGAGGUUGGUGGAACUGCGAGUGUAGAGGUGAAAAUUCGUAGAUAUUCGCAAGAACACCAGUGGCGAAGGCGGCCAACUGGUCCGUACUGACGCUGAGGUGCGAAAAGCGUGGGGAGCAAACAGG
RNAcentral lists this ribosomal RNA (254 nucleotides) under uncultured bacterium. RNAcentral's name for it is "partial 16S ribosomal RNA". It matches the Rfam family "Bacterial small subunit ribosomal RNA", at positions 524 to 776 of the family's 1533-position model. The record is from RNAcentral.